CCCGCUGAACUUAAGCAUAUCAAUAAGCGGAGGAAAAGAAACUAACAAGGAUUCCCCUAGUAACUGCGAGUGAAGCGGGAAAAGCUCAAAUUUAAAAUCUGGCGGUCCUUGUGGCUGUCCGAGUUGUAAUUUAGAGAAGUGUUAUCCGCGCUGGACCGUGUACAAGUCUCCUGGAAUGGAGCGUCAUAGAGGGUGAGAAUCCCGUCUUUGACACGGACUGCCAGGGCAUUGUGAUACGCUCUCAAAGAGUCGAGUUGUUUGGGAAUGCAGCUCAAAAUGGGUGGUAAAUUCCAUCUAAAGCUAAAUAUUGGGGAGAGACCGAUAGCGAACAAGUACCGUGAGGGAAAGAUGAAAAGAACUUUGGAAAGAGAGUUAAACAGUACGUGAAAUUGCUGAAAGGGAAACGCUUGAAGUCAGUCGCGUCGCUCAGGACUCAGCCUUGCUUUUGCUUGGUGUACUUCCUGUUCGAUGGGUCAGCAUCAAUUUUGGUCGGUGGAUAAAGGCUCAGAGAAUGUGGCAUCUUCGGGUGUGUUAUAGCCUCUUGUUGUAUACAUCGGUUGGGACUGAGGAACUCAGCACGCCGCAAGGCCGGGUUUUUAACCACGUACGUGCUUAGGAUGCUGGCAUAAUGGCUUUAAUCGACCCGUCUUGAAACACGG
This 659-nucleotide ribosomal RNA is filed under the name uncultured fungus. Its description in RNAcentral is "eukaryotic LSU rRNA". It matches the Rfam family "Eukaryotic large subunit ribosomal RNA", at positions 24 to 664 of the family's 3401-position model. The record is from RNAcentral. Lineage: Eukaryota; Fungi.